This 72-nucleotide transfer RNA is filed under the name Camelus bactrianus (Bactrian camel). It matches the Rfam family "tRNA". Rfam says of the family: Transfer RNA (tRNA) molecules are approximately 80 nucleotides in length. Their secondary structure includes four short double-helical elements and three loops (D, anti-codon, and T loops). The record is from Rfam by way of RNAcentral. RNAcentral also lists the same sequence under 2 other names. Lineage: Eukaryota; Metazoa; Chordata; Mammalia; Artiodactyla; Camelidae.
GUAGGUAUAGCUCAGUGGUAGAGUGUGUGCUUAGCAUGCAUGAGGUCCUGGGUUCAAUCCCCAGUGUCUCUA